UGGGGAAUAUUGCACAAUGGGCGCAAGCCUGAUGCAGCCAUGCCGCGUGUGUGAAGAAGGCCUUCGGGUUGUAAAGCACUUUCAGCGAGGAGGAAGGUGGUGAACUUAAUACGUUCAUCAAUUGACGUUACUCGCAGAAGAAGCACCGGCUAACUCCGUGCCAGCAGCCGCGGUAAUACGGAGGGUGCAAGCGUUAAUCGGAAUUACUGGGCGUAAAGCGCACGCAGGCGGUUUGUUAAGUCAGAUGUGGAAUCCCCGGGCUCAACCUGGGAACUGCAUUUGAAACUGGCAAGCUAGAGUCUCGUAGAGGGGGUAGAAUUCCAGGUGUAGCGGUGAAAUGCGUAGAGAUCUGGAGGAAUACCGGUGGCGAAGGCGGCCCCCUGGACGAAGACUGACGCUCAGGUGCGAAAGCGUGGGAGCAAACAGGAUUAGAUACCCUGGUAGUCCACGCUGUAAACGAUGUCGAUUUUGGAGGUUGUGCCCUUUGAGGCGUGGCUUCCGGAGCUAACGCGUUAAUCGACCGCCUGGGGAGUACGGCCGCAAGGUUAAAACGUCAAAGGAAUUGACGGGGUCAUAGC
This 578-nucleotide ribosomal RNA is filed under the name uncultured bacterium. RNAcentral's name for it is "partial 16S ribosomal RNA". It matches the Rfam family "Bacterial small subunit ribosomal RNA", at positions 355 to 925 of the family's 1533-position model. The record is from RNAcentral.